GACGAACGCUGGCGGCGUGCUUAACACAUGCAAGUCGAACGGAAAGGCCCUGCUUUUGUGGGGUGCUCGAGUGGCGAACGGGUGAGUAACACGUGAGUAACCUGCCCUUGACUUUGGGAUAACUUCAGGAAACUGGGGCUAAUACCGGAUAGGAGCUCCUGCUGCAUGGUGGGGGUUGGAAAGUUUCGGCGGUUGGGGAUGGACUCGCGGCUUAUCAGCUUGUUGGUGGGGUAGUGGCUUACCAAGGCUUUGACGGGUAGCCGGCCUGAGAGGGUGACCGGCCACAUUGGGACUGAGAUACGGCCCAGACUCCUACGGGAGGCAGAAGUGGGGAAUAUUGCACAAUGGGCGGAAGCCUGAUGAAGCAACGCCGCGUGCGGGAUGACGGCCUUCGGGUUGUAAACCGCUUUCGCCUGUGACGAAGCGUGAGUGACGGUAAUGGGUAAAGAAGCACCGGCUAACUACGUG
RNAcentral lists this ribosomal RNA (468 nucleotides) under uncultured bacterium. Its description in RNAcentral is "partial 16S ribosomal RNA". It matches the Rfam family "Bacterial small subunit ribosomal RNA", at positions 28 to 507 of the family's 1533-position model. The record is from RNAcentral.